Molecule: long non-coding RNA, 761 nt
Organism: Cyprinus carpio (common carp)
Lineage: Eukaryota; Metazoa; Chordata; Actinopteri; Cypriniformes; Cyprinidae
Source: Ensembl
AGUUCUCCAGCUCUGGGUCAAGACCCUCAUAACGCUGUUUCCUCAGCCAGGCUGGGUCGUGCAGAUUUCUCUUGGAGAGAGAGUCUCCAGCUGCCAUCACACAAAAACAUCUUCACAUGCGUGCAGCAGCAGUGAGCUACAUCAAACAGGGCUGGUCAGGCACCCCAUAGACUUUCAACUUCAGAGCCACAUCUAGACUUUUCUUUUGACUCCCUCUGUCUCCAAGACCACCACACAGGGUCAGAGAGCACUGUACACGGUCCUAGGGACUUUUCAUGCCAGUUCCUCAGAGACGAGAUGGCAAAACAAUCAGGAUUCCAGACUAAUGGAACAGGAAGACAUUUAUUAUGGACAACUUUGGCAGUGGGAAAGACAGCAGCAGAGUAUCUGGGAGCUGUCGUGGACACCUCUACCUCUGCGUUUCUGCUGGUGUGAAUGUAGCAAGAUUCCUGCAGCUGACCGCAGCUCUUCCGAUGACAGGUUGGAUUCAAACAAAGCUGCAUGUCUCAGCACUGACUUUUACAAGGAUCUACAAUUACUUCUGUGGCAUGUUUAAGAAUAUGGACCAAAUGCUUAGAAGGUACAGAAACUAAAAACAUGCUAAAUGUUCGUUUGUUUAGUAUUUAGCUCUAGAACUUUGUCUGAAGAGCUGACAAUGCAUCAAAAUCAAUGGGUUCCGACAGUGGAAACAAAGCUAUUGUGUAAAUAACGUAGGUGCCACAGUGAAUAAAAGGUAUGCUUAACAAUUGGGUAAUGAUGCU